CUUAUUUCUGAAUGUAAGACAUGAAAUCGUCUCUUCCAAAUACCGAUUACACGUUCAACCAGGCAUCUUGUUUUCUUGUGGUCCAGUUAAAUCUUCUUUGCUGUGGCAGAACGGGAUUUAAAUAAGGUGUUAUCAAGUAUGAUCUGAGGGCAUAUCCACUGUCACCUAGCAGUACUUCAUCCUCCGUAGUAUAAACCUAUUCUUCUAGUCCUCGGCCAAGUGCAGAGGAGUGAAAGAUAAAAGAGUUAUGGCAUGACCCUGGCCACUUUGCCACCACAUUUCUUAAUUUUCCUAUACAGGGUGUAUCAAAAAAAACUGAAC
Molecule: non-coding RNA, 321 nt
Organism: Paramuricea clavata
Lineage: Eukaryota; Metazoa; Cnidaria; Anthozoa; Malacalcyonacea; Plexauridae
Source: the annotation of a GenBank genome assembly